Molecule: ribosomal RNA, 460 nt
Filed under: uncultured Methylomirabilota bacterium
Lineage: Bacteria; Methylomirabilota (SeqCode)
Description: bacterial SSU rRNA
Rfam family: Bacterial small subunit ribosomal RNA
Source: RNAcentral
GGGCUUGACAUCCCACGAACCUGCCCGAAAGGGUCGGGUGCCCGCAAGGGAGCGUGGAGACAGGUGGUGCAUGGCUGUCGUCAGCUCGUGUCGUGAGAUGUUGGGUUAAGUCCCGCAACGAGCGCAACCCUCACCCCUUGUUGCCACCGGGUAAAGCCGAGCACUCUAGGGGAACUGCCAGCGUCAAGCUGGAGGAAGGUGGGGAUGACGUCAAGUCAUCAUGCCCCUUACGCCCUGGGCUACACACGUGCUACAAUGGUUGGUACAAAGGGAUGCGAGACCGCGAGGUGGAGCUAACCCCAAAAAACCGGUCUAAGUUCAGAUUGCAGUCUGCAACUCGACUGCAUGAAGGAGGAAUCGCUAGUAAUCGCGCAUCAGCACGGCGCGGUGAAUACGUUCCCGGGCCUUGUACACACCGCCCGUCACACCACGAAAGCCGGCUGUACUCGAAGUCGCUGAG